RNAcentral lists this ribosomal RNA (430 nucleotides) under uncultured eukaryote. Its description in RNAcentral is "bacterial SSU rRNA". It matches the Rfam family "Eukaryotic small subunit ribosomal RNA", at positions 1216 to 1657 of the family's 1831-position model. The record is from RNAcentral.
CACCAGGUCAGGACACGGUAAGGAUUGACGGACUGAAGGCUCUUUCUCGAUUCCGUGGAAAGUGGUGCAUGGCCGUUUUUGGUUGGUGGAUCGAUCCGUCUGGUUAAUUCCGUUAACGAACGAGACCUCGGCACUCCGAAUAGCGCGGCGGACGUCGCGGCCUCCGGGCCGUCUUCCGCACGAGCUUCUUAGAGGGACCGUCCCCCGCCGGGGAAGGAGGUGCGAGGCAACGACAGGUCUGUGAUGCCCUUAGAUGUUCUGGGCCGCACGCGCAUUACACUGACGCGUCCAACGGGUGACUCCCGACCCGAAGGGGCCGGGGAAUCCGCAAGGCGCGUCGUGAUGGGGAUUGAACGUUGCAAUUGUUGUUCACGAACGAGGAAUUCCUAGUAGGCGCGGGUCAUCAACCCGCGCCGAUUACGUCCCUGCC